RNAcentral lists this ribosomal RNA (492 nucleotides) under uncultured bacterium. RNAcentral's name for it is "partial 16S ribosomal RNA". It matches the Rfam family "Bacterial small subunit ribosomal RNA", at positions 29 to 507 of the family's 1533-position model. The record is from RNAcentral.
AGUGAACGCUGGCGGUAGGCCUAACACAUGCAAGUCGAACGGCAGCACAGUAAGAGCUUGCUCUUACGGGUGGCGAGUAGCGGACGGGUGAGGAAUACAUCGGAAUCUACUUUUUCGUGGGGGAUAACGUAGGGAAACUUACGCUAAUACCGCAUACGACCUACGGGUGAAAGCAGGGGAUCUUCGGACCUUGCGCGAUUGAAUGAGCCGAUGUCGGAUUAGCUAGUUGGCGGGGUAAAGGCCCACCAAGGCGACGAUCCGUAGCUGGUCUGAGAGGAUGAUCAGCCACACUGGAACUGAGGCACGGUCCAGACUCCUACGGGAGGCAGCAGUGGGGAAUAUUGGACAAUGGGCGCAAGCCUGAUCCAGCCAUACCGCGUGGGUGAAGAAGGCCUUCGGGUUGUAAAGCCCUUUUGUUGGGAAAGAAAAGCAGCAGGUUAAUACCCCGCUGUUCUGACGGUACCCAAAGAAUAAGCACCGGCUAACUUCGUG